ACAGCAGGCAGCCAGAACCAGACCAAUCCAGUUCGUGAUAACCUGAAAAGGAACACAAAGGAUUUUGGUAGUGAACUGUCUGCUGAUAAAUUUGCAACAUCUGAUGACACUGAAAAGAUGACGACUGAACAAAUCCAGAGUCGGAGGACAGCAGGCAGCCAGAACCAGACCAAUCCAAGUCGUGAUAACCUGAACAGGAACACAAAGGUAGUUUUUGGUUCUUGUAGU
Molecule: long non-coding RNA, 228 nt
Organism: Nematolebias whitei (Rio pearlfish)
Lineage: Eukaryota; Metazoa; Chordata; Actinopteri; Cyprinodontiformes; Rivulidae
Exons: 3
Source: RefSeq, a predicted model, not a curated record